CACCGUUCCCACGUGGAUGAGUUCCUGGCCCUUGGAUUCACAUCCUCAUAUCUAUUCUUGGUCAUGCAUUGUUAUGACUUAUUUUAAUGUCGAGUGUUUCGCUGUUGACCAAGCCUCACCAUACGCGCGCGCCUCUGGCUCCUUGGAUCAGCCACGUCAAUUAAUGAGCGCUGAUCCAAGCGCUGUGUUUUUUUUUAAUUUUUAAUUUCUGUUUUAAUUUUCUUUUAUUUCAAUUAUUUUCAAAAAUAUGGGACCAAUUGCAAAAAAAUUCUCUUAAAUUCUAGUUUCUAUAAAUGAUUUUUAAUUAUUUUUGUGAUUCCAUUUAAUAUUUUUUGUGAGUUAUUUCUUUUCUAAUUGUUUUUAAUUCAUUUAAAAUACUUCCCAAUAUUCAAAAAUGCCAAAAAUAUUU
RNAcentral lists this long non-coding RNA (409 nucleotides) under Lathyrus oleraceus (garden pea). RNAcentral describes it as "Pisum sativum (pea) long non-coding RNA (PSAT_LNC031181)". Lineage: Eukaryota; Viridiplantae; Streptophyta; Magnoliopsida; Fabales; Fabaceae. The record is from RNAcentral.